Molecule: long non-coding RNA, 2117 nt
Organism: Cyanoderma ruficeps (rufous-capped babbler)
Lineage: Eukaryota; Metazoa; Chordata; Aves; Passeriformes; Timaliidae
Source: Ensembl
AUGGUAUUCCUUUCAUUUCUUCAUCUCUAUUUGAUAAAUGUUUGUAACUGCAGAGCCUAUUGGUACUGUAAAGGCAUGUACAUCUCCAAGUUCUUCAAACCUGGUUUAACCAAUUUUAAAGGCAAUGUGGAACAAAGCAUUCCAACAAAGACCUUGAAAGAUUCCCAAGUAAGCAACCUGCCAAGGCAAGAAGCACAAAUCAGGGCUGUUGAAGUACUCAAGAACAGCAUUGUCACCCAGUUACAGAUACAGGAGAUGCUUCUGAUUUUAGGAACCACAGAUAUUCUGCUUAAACCCAGCAACUGCUCUGUAGAGCCUUUGAAGGAAGCAGUGACACAGCAGGAACGGGAUCCUUAAUUGUCUGGGUUGCAAACGAUGCCUGAUGGUUGGCUUGCUUGCAGGUUUAGUUCCAUAUACAUAAAAAUAAGAAUAUGAUUUUGAAUAUAAUAUAUUCUAUAAACUACAAUCUCUUCCCUCUAAAAUAAAAGUGCUAAUAACUCUGUGGCUUUAGUAUAAAAAUUAUCCAAGAGCUCAAUAGUGGCUGGCCAUACUGAAUCAUUUUUUUCUGUCAGACUGCAAGGUAAAAGUUACAUCCAAAUUCCUAAAUGUAAUCUAGCAUGAAAACCUGGAUUGUUGUUUUCCAUACAGCAGUGUCUGACACAGCUUGCAAGUUAUGCUGUUCUGAACCAAUCUAAUGUAUUCUCUUAGUAAACAAAAAAAAUACAAGGACUUGUUAUAAAUAAGGUGACCCAAAUCAGAAAUAAAGAAACAAAGUUUAUUUUUCCCAAAUUAAUAAAACUGAGAUGCAACGAAAAAAAACAAAAGCACAACAACUAAUAGCCAAAUUGCAAUGAAACCAGCAAAAAUUCCCGCCACAGCAUAGUUCUAAUUCGAUCGAAAUGGGAGUCGGAUGCUAGACCGGCACGCGCCAGAUCUCUGUGCCGCCCGCUCCACCAUGUGCUCCCAGAGUCCAGUAUUUAUACUUUUUAUUCUCCUCCAGGCAAGGCUUUUCCUCGGAGAUGGCUGGAUUAUAACAUUCAUGAGUCCUUUCUAUUCAGUUUAAUUUCUUCCUGAGCCAGGCCUGAAUUGAGUUCUCAGAAUUAGCCUGAAACAGUUUUCAGUUGCAAAGAGGGGUCCCUUCUCCAGACAAUCUGAUGUGGAUUGGAGCUCCACAGGGGUGGAGUUUCGACUGUCUGAAACUUAUGACUAAGCCAACUCGGCUUUUCACUUGCAGAUGGGGCUGGCAUUCCUCUGUUGCUCUCUCUCAGGCAGCUUUAUCAACGUCUCCUGCAACCUGUAAACUUUUAAUUUCUCAUGCCCAGAUUCAUAUACAAUGUGUUUUUAUAACAGACUGAAUCCUUCCCUAUGCAAAAGCCACGGGAAGUCUUUGUUUCUUAGCAAAAAAAUUAAUUUUUCCAACUACAAAUUGUUGUCUUCAUAAAAGACUGUAGGAUUCAAAACUGUUCUCUAAAAAGUUUAAAAAUUUACACUUAAACUUUACCAUUGGGACUAUGAAACAUACCCCUCCAAUACUGCACGGUAAUUGGUCUUCCAUACAGAUUCCAUCCAGCAGAGCUUUUGCAUAAGGCACUGAUACUUUGUGUUUAAAGCAGACAUAUCCAAAAUGCAAUAUAUGAGGCAGGCAGGAGACAAUGUUUCUUCCUUUAUAUGCCUUUAUUAAAGACACAGCUCUUUUAUAUGUAUAGGUGCUUGGGAGAGCAAUGUGCUCUUCAUCCAUUGAAAUGCUGAGAAGAAGGGGGGAUGGGCACCCUGCUGCUUACACGGCCUGGUGGGGAAUUGGCCACUCCCCCCUCACAGGAGACAAGCUCCCGAUGAAUUCCCAAUUUCAAUUCACUGCUGCUGAGGGGUCAUUUGUUUAGAAUGUUUUUGUAUUUACGGCUAGAUAAAGACAACUGGUUUUGAGAUGAAGAUCUGUCGGGUUUCACACUCCUGUCUUCAUUGUUGUCAUUAUUCUGUUUUGGGCUGUUGUUGGGGAGAAUUAUUGUUUGAUUUUGGAAGCUGUGUUGAUUUUCUUCAGGCGUUGCAUCCUGGGAUCUCUAAUUACCAUAUAUCUUGCUACAGAGGUAAGGGGCUUACAGAGGCGGAGGCUACAGAGG